This 253-nucleotide ribosomal RNA is filed under the name uncultured bacterium. Its description in RNAcentral is "partial 16S ribosomal RNA". It matches the Rfam family "Bacterial small subunit ribosomal RNA", at positions 524 to 776 of the family's 1533-position model. The record is from RNAcentral.
UACGUAGGGUGCAAGCGUUGUCCGGAAUCAUUGGGCGUAAAGCGCGUGUAGGCGGCCCGAUAAGUCCGCUGUGAAAGUCCAGGGCUCAACCCUGGGAUGCCGGUGGAUACUGUCGGGCUCGAGUCCGGAAGAGGCGAGUGGAAUUCCUGGUGUAGCGGUGAAAUGCGCAGAUAUCGGGAGGAACACCAGUGGCGAAGGCGACUACCUGGCCUGUUCUUGACGCUGAGGCGCGAAAGCUAGGGGAGCAAACGGG